UCCGUAGGCGGAUUGAUAAGUCAGAGGUGAAAUCCCACAGCUUAACUGUGGAACUGCCUUUGAAACUGUUAGUCUUGAGUUAUAUGGAAGUAGAUAGAAUGUGUAGUGUAGCGGUGAAAUGCAUAGAGAUUACACAGAAUACCGAUUGCGAAGGCAGUCUACUACCUGUAUACUGACGCUAAUGGACGAAAGCGUGGGGAGCGAACAGGAUUAGAUACCCUGGUAGUC
RNAcentral lists this ribosomal RNA (228 nucleotides) under uncultured bacterium. Its description in RNAcentral is "partial 16S ribosomal RNA". It matches the Rfam family "Bacterial small subunit ribosomal RNA", at positions 568 to 795 of the family's 1533-position model. The record is from RNAcentral.